This 84-nucleotide non-coding RNA is filed under the name unclassified sequences. The record is from Rfam.
CUAACGAUACUUCUGUCCAGCCACAGCUUCUUCACGCAAUGGGGACAGCUCGGAGCGAUCCUCGGAGGGGUUCAAAUCCCAUGG